UAUUAGCCCAUGAUGAGAAUAGUAGCUUGAAUAUAGGUUAAAGAGAGUCAGUGGUUGGUGUAAACUGAUACUAUGUAUUUUAGCGAAUCCACCUCGGAGGUAAUUGCGAUGAGCAAUACGGUUAAAACCGUUAUAUUUUUGAGAGAAUCAUAUAAUCUUUUAUAUGAUUAAUAAGGGUGGCAACGCGAGUCAAUCGUCCCUACC
Clostridium botulinum A str. ATCC 3502 is the source of this 204-nucleotide regulatory RNA element. It matches the Rfam family "T-box leader". From Rfam's summary of the family: Uncharged tRNA acts as the effector for transcription antitermination of genes in the T-box leader family. T-boxes are found upstream of many aminoacyl-tRNA synthetase genes and some amino acid biosynthetic genes usually in Gram-positive bacteria. The anticodon of a specific tRNA base pairs to a specifier sequence within the T-box motif, and the NCCA acceptor tail of the tRNA base pairs to a conserved bulge in the T-box antiterminator hairpin. The record is from Rfam. Lineage: Bacteria; Bacillati; Bacillota; Clostridia; Eubacteriales; Clostridiaceae.